Molecule: long non-coding RNA, 3604 nt
Filed under: Fragaria vesca (wild strawberry)
Lineage: Eukaryota; Viridiplantae; Streptophyta; Magnoliopsida; Rosales; Rosaceae
Description: long non-coding RNA (FVES_LNC005423)
Source: RNAcentral
AAUUAAUUUGGGGAAACAUAAAUAUUUUAAUUAUUAAUUUAUUUUUGUCCACUCACUCUAACGUUAUUAAAUGUUUUCCCUUGGGCCCUUCGUUUUAAAUUGCCCAGUCUGCAGAGUUCGGGUUGGAUCUAGUAGGAGACGAGGCAUAGUCACCCGCUUUUCGGCCAGUUUUCAUCAGUAGGUUACCUGUUCAACCUACUUGUGUUUUCUUGCUUCCGCUUGUGUUUAGUAGCUCUGAAUACUUUAGAAUUUUUGUAUAUUAUGUGAUAUUCAGAAGCGUUAAAUUAAGAGUGUAAUAUGAAAUUUUCGAGUUAGGGUUGUCCAUCUGCAAGGGAGAUUUUCUUAAUCUUUUCAGUAAAUUUUCCUUGGAGGUGGUCCCCGCACGACUUACUCUGGGUUUCAGGGUGAAAUUCGGGGUGGGUCGUGUCACGAGCUGCCCUGUGGUGGUGACUUGCGCCGAUUCAGUCCCGAAGUGGUGGCCCGAAGCUUGGAAGUCCGGCUUGGAGACCGGUCGGGUUUCCCACCUCCGGUGGCGGCGACGCAGCUUGGAAACGGUCGGGAUAGGAGCUCCUUAACGUCCUGGUUUGUUUUCCGGUGGUCUUGAAGCUCGACUCUCGGUGUGGAGUGGUGGUGGUGAAUUCCAACUUUUCCGGCGGGUUUCCGGUGAUUUCCGGCCAAUUCCGGCCGAACUAGUUGAACCCUCAGGUAUAAAAGAUGCUCAUCUCUCCUCAAUCUACAAAUUUGAUGUUUUGAGUUUGCCCUAAUUCGGACGUUUCGUGGUGGCGCGUGGGGCCCACUCGCCGCCGCCUGUGGUGGCGCGUGGCGGCGCGUCCGGUAGUGUCUGGGGUGUUUUGUGGUGCUGGUUAGAUAGUACUCUUCGAUACGAGUGUGUUGAUUUGUGGGUUGUAGGUUUUGGUUAUCUUUAUUGCAUGCUAGGGUUUCCCCGUGGUGAUUAGUUUCGUUCGUUUCAUUUUUUUGAGUAAUCCGAACAUGAGAUUCUGGUUAGUAGUUCUAUAGGAUGUGUAGGACGUUUCAGCGACCUUUUAGAGGUCAAGGAGGAGGAUUUGUCUCGAGUGAUAAGCUCGUGGAUUAGGACUUGAGUUUCGGUUCGAGUCGGAUAAUGUUGUUUUCUUAGUUACUAAGGUUAACGUUUUGUUAAUAGGUGACUUGUGGUGUGGUUUUGUGUGAUAUGCUUGAGUUGUGCGUGCGAAGACGCAGCUGGAUUUGAGGUGAGUAACAUCUCACUAAGGUCCACUUUCGGACCAAUCAUUAUAAUUAUUAUGAUGUUGAUUUUGGAGAUGAUUAUGAUGAUGAUUGUGAUGUUGUUUUUGAGGAUGAUGAUGAUGAUAAUUAUUAUGAUGACGAUGGUAAUGGUUUUGUUUGAUGAUUAUGAUGGUAUUUUUAUAUUGUGAGUAAAUCUCACAUGGGUUCUUAAGGAACCGAAUUUACUUUAUAAUUUUGUUUUAUUAAUUGUGAAAUUGUCCUUAAAAGGAAAAAUGACUUUGUUUUUAAAAAUAAAUGAGUUUGAUUGUCAACGGCUCAUGGUAAGUGAAAACAAGUUUUCUGUUAAAAAUAAAUCUUUCAAAAGGACUUUCGAUCAUGUGAUAUGGUGAUGUUGAAAUAUGUUUGUUGAUAGAUUUUCUAGUGGGAAUAUCUAUGUCUUUGUUUAUAUAAAUAUAUCUAGGUGGAAAGAUAUAAUUUAUGAAGUGCUCUUGUGAUGUUGUUGAUGAUAUUUUUAUAUUGAAUUGUUGUUAAAUAGUCAAACCGGGUUCCUAGCUUUUAAUCGGGUGAUAGGUUACGGUUAUGAUUAUAUUAUUAUUUUGUGAAUUGAUAAGUGUUAUGUUGGGAGAGUAUUGGAGUGUGUGCCUUAGUGGUGAUUGUGUGCAUUAGUUGUGUAUGUGUGUGCCUUAGUGGUGAUUUUGUGCAUUAGUUGUGUAUGUGUGUGCCUUAGUAGUGAUGGUGUGCAUUAGAUUAGGAGCCUUCGUGGUGGAUCGGGAACCAAGCCUUGGCCGGGUGAUUGGUUACGGUCAGUAUAGAGCUCUAGUCUGUCAGUCGGUACUUCAUGGGGGAUGACUAAGUGUUGACGAACCCAUGAGUAUGCAUUUGUUGGUUACUUAUGGGGGAUGACUAAGUGUUGGCGAACUCAUAAGUAAGAGUAGAGAAAUGAUUGUUUGAUGUUCUUAUAUGUUGUCUUUUAAAAUUUCUUGUUUUUAAGUAUUUCCUGAACUAUGCCUUUUUUGCAGAAUUUCAUUUUGAAUUGGCUUGAUUGUGAGUUAUUGCGUUCUUUUUAAUUAUUUGUUUCAUUUAUGAUUUUGAGUGAUUUUGAAUUAUUGUGUUUUUCUUAAUUGCUUCUUUUGAUUUCUCUUGCUUUUAGGUGAUUCCUGAACUAAGUUAUCAAGGCAGGAAUUACCAACUUUAAUUAUAUGUGAUGUUAGGAUUGUUGAGUUAUUAUUUGGGAGUUACUCAUACGAGCUUUUUAGCUUACCGGGUUUGUUGUUUACAACCCGGUGCACCAAUUCAUGGUGUAGGGUUUAGACCUGCAGGUGAUGAUCAGCAUGGUUGAGGCAGUGGCCUAGGAGCUGGGUUUUUGACGAGAUACAUUUAUUUGUAUUUUUAUGGUAGUUGUUUUAAGCUCUUAUGAGCGAAGUUGUUUAUUACUAGAUUUUUGGAAGUUGAUGUAAUUAAGGAGAUUAAAUGUUUAACUCGGUUGAUGAGUUUAUCGACAUUUACAUUUCCAGUAUUUGUUUUUAGUUUUUGAAAUUGUUGAGAAGGUUUUCGGAUAUUUAGAAUUUGAGUUUUAUCAUGUCCAAAUUUUUUUAAAUUUAUCCAUCGAAAAUUGGGGUGUGACAGAUCAAGGUCUUGAGCCUGAGAAGUUACUGGAUACAACGGAGAUUCAGGUGUUGAACGGAGACAGGCAGGAUUUCUUAUGAGUCCAAAAAAUCUUGAAACAGAGAUUCACAACAGUAAAAGAUAUUUUCCACUUAAAGACGAUGGUAUAUUGGGUUUCUGGGCAAAGUUUAAAACUAAAUGGGCUUUAAAUAAGAAAAUAAUAUGUUUAAUGGGUUAAAGGUUCUGCUGGGCUUUUUGGGCUUGGUUUUAAUUUCUUUCACUAGCCCAUAUUAAAACUUUGCCCAUCAUGCAUGAACUUUGGUCCUAAGCCCAAAAUUAUUGAUGAAUGUUAUUUUAACAAUGGGCCUCAUGGGAUCCGUUACCUUCCACACCACAUCCUCUCUUUAAGCCCCAAUGAACAUAGCUUGGGCCUAAGUUUAUUAAUAUUACAUAUUAUGUUUGCAUGGUGAUUGCUUGAGAACUUAGUUUAUUAAUAUUACAUAUAACUUUUCAGAAAGUAUCUUUGGGACUAUAACAGACUUGCAUGAAGGCCCAAUGGAGUCACGAGCAUGCGUUAAAUCUCAAAUAUUGUGGAUUUUUAGGUACAACAAACGUAAAACUUCUUUAGGUACUUUCCCUCUGUUCCUUAUGCAUGCUCCAACAAACUUACAGUAACAUUUCAAACUUUGUAGUAAUAGAAUUAAAACCCGUUGUCCUCUUCAACUCUUCCAGAAAUUGUUCAAAUUUUUCAUAUAAAUAACAUCCUCUAAUUCCC